This 320-nucleotide ribosomal RNA is filed under the name uncultured eukaryote. Its description in RNAcentral is "partial 18S ribosomal RNA". It matches the Rfam family "Eukaryotic small subunit ribosomal RNA", at positions 1470 to 1796 of the family's 1831-position model. The record is from RNAcentral.
CCCCUAGAUGUUCUGGGCCGCACGCGCGCUACACUGAACAGUUCAACAAGUAUUAACCUUGGCCGAUAGGUCUGGGUAAUCUUUGAACGCUGUUCGUGAUUGGGAUAGACCUUUGCAAUUAUGGGUCUUCAACGAGGAAUUCCUAGUAAACGCAAGUCAUCAGCUUGCAUUGAUUACGUCCCUGCCCUUUGUACACACCGCCCGUCGCACCUACCGAUUGAAUGGUCCGGUGAAAUCUCGGGACGGCGGCUUGGUCGCUUGCGUCCGACUGCUGAAACUUGAUUAAACCAUAUCAUUUAGAGGAAGGUGAANUCGUAACA